This 30-nucleotide non-coding RNA is filed under the name Rattus norvegicus (Norway rat). Lineage: Eukaryota; Metazoa; Chordata; Mammalia; Rodentia; Muridae. The record is from RNAcentral.
UGACGAUGUUGAAAUAUUCUUUCUUCAGCC